UGCUAGGCCUUAUAGGUGCCCGCCGACGUCCCCCUAAAACUCUUUUGUCAUUUGGGUUCUCUGAGUGAAAUCAAAUGAGUCAAAACUUUCAUCACGGAUCUCUUGUUCUGGCAUCGAGGAAGAACGCAGCGAAAUGGAUGGUAAUGGAAUUGCAGACUUCAAGUAAAUCAUCAAAUCUUUGAUCGCACAUUGCUUCCCUAGUUUUCAAAUGGGCAUGCCUGUCCGAGCGUCAUUUCAUCCACUCAGUCCCCUACGUUUUGGGGUUGGCCCAUCUACUGUGUGAAACCUUAGACCCUGAAAGACAGUGGCGCCAUCCCCCUGGCACUCCGGGCGCUAUAGAAUCUCCUUCUCGUCGAGGACGUCAUAGCGCCCUGCCGGUCCGUAAACAACCCCCAAAAAAUAAAAAGGUUGACCUCGAAUCAGGUAGGAUUACCCGCUGGACUUUAAGCUUUUCAUUAAGCCGGAAGAA
RNAcentral lists this ribosomal RNA (469 nucleotides) under uncultured fungus. RNAcentral describes it as "eukaryotic LSU rRNA". The stretch from base 84 to 232 matches the Rfam family "5.8S ribosomal RNA". The record is from RNAcentral. Lineage: Eukaryota; Fungi.